This 406-nucleotide ribosomal RNA is filed under the name uncultured bacterium. RNAcentral describes it as "partial 16S ribosomal RNA". It matches the Rfam family "Bacterial small subunit ribosomal RNA", at positions 30 to 526 of the family's 1533-position model. The record is from RNAcentral.
AUUGAACGCUGGCGGCAGGCCUAACACAUGCAAGUCGAGCGAGCGGAGGACGGGUGAGUAAUGUCUGGGAAACUGCCUGAUGGAGGGGGAUAACGUCCGGAAACGGGCGCUAAUAACGCAUACUCUAAGAUGAGCCUAGGUCGGAUUAGCUAGUUGGUGGGGUAAAGGCCUACCAAGGCGACGAUCCGUAACUGGUCUGAGAGGAUGAUCAGUCACACUGGAACUGAGACACGGUCCAGACUCCUACGGGAGGCAGCAGUGGGGAAUAUUGCACAAUGGGCGCAAGCCUGAUGCAGCCAUGCCGCGUGUGUGAAGAAGGCCUUCGGGUUGUAAAGCACUGUCAGCGGGGAGGCGUUACCCGCAGAAGAAGCACCGGCUAACUCCGUGCCAGCAGCCGCGGUAAUAC